UACGGAGGGUGCAACCGUUGCUCGGAAUCAUUGGGCGUAAAGCGCACGUAGGCGGCUUCUUAAGUCGGGUGUGAAAGCCCUCGGCUCAACCGAGGAAGUGCAUUCGAAACUGGGGGGCUUGAAUACUGGAGAGGAUGGCGGAAUUCCCGGUGUAGAGGUGAAAUUCGUAGAUAUCGGGAGGAACACCAGCGGCGAAGGCGGCCAUCUGGACAGAUAUUGACGCUGAGGUGCGAAAGCGUGGGGAGCAAACAGG
This 253-nucleotide ribosomal RNA is filed under the name uncultured bacterium. RNAcentral describes it as "partial 16S ribosomal RNA". It matches the Rfam family "Bacterial small subunit ribosomal RNA", at positions 524 to 776 of the family's 1533-position model. The record is from RNAcentral.